GAUGAACGCUGGCGGCGUGCUUAACACGUGCAAGUCGAACGGAAAGGCUCCUGCUUGCAGGGGUACUCGAGUGGCGAACGGGUGAGUAACACGUGGGUGUUCUGCCCUGCACUUCGGGAUAAGCCUGGGAAACUGGGUCUAAUACCGGAUAGGACGUUGGUUUGGAUGCCAUUGUGGAAAGUUUUUCGGUGUGGGAUGAGCUCGCGGCCUAUUAGCUUGUUGGUGGGGUAAUGGCUUACCAAGGCGUCGACGGGUAGCCGGCCUGAGAGGGUGUACGGCCACAUUGGGACUGAGAUACGGCCCAGACUCCUACGGGAGGCAGCAGUGGGGAAUAUUGCACAAUGGGCGCAAGCCUGAUGCAGCGACGCCGCGUGGGGGAUGACGGCCUUCGGGUUGUAAACUCCUUUCGCUAGGGACGAAGCGCAAGUGACGGUACCUGGAGAAGAAGCACCGGCUAACUACGUG
RNAcentral lists this ribosomal RNA (465 nucleotides) under uncultured bacterium. Its description in RNAcentral is "partial 16S ribosomal RNA". It matches the Rfam family "Bacterial small subunit ribosomal RNA", at positions 28 to 507 of the family's 1533-position model. The record is from RNAcentral.